GCAAGGUGGUCGUCGCCAUCUUUUACAUUGCAACACUACGCGUGAUUUAAUAGUUACAAGUUGAUAUCAUUUAACAAUAAAGGAAAUUUUAAAAAAACGCGCGUGCUCAGUCACCCCCACUUAUCCUUAGCCGAUAAAAGAACUAGCAACUACAAGACGGGCCUUAUUCAACUCAGCGUGAGGGGACCUGCAAAAUUUAUACACCGAAUCCAAACAGUGUUGGGCGAAAUCCGUAUAAAUACUCACUUUAAUUUUCAUAUGAAAACCCAUUGGUGAAUGCCGCUGGAUGCUAGGCGCGAACCUCCAACCUUUCGGUCGUGAAUCCUAUCCCUAUCCACUGGGCUACGGCCGCCCCAGAACUAGAGCUGUGGCGUCCUGCGUCGGACGUUGAACCCAUGACUAGCUUUUCUAGAGACGGAACUUCUUCCACUUUUCUCGUUCGACGCUAACUGAAGUUUCUCAGUGAGAUCGCAAUAAUCUCCUCAGGAUUUUAACAUUAUUUUUUACUCGGUACCCUCGGCAAUAUAGCGUAUGCUGGUAGACCAGAGUUUUAGACAAAGUUUUAAUUAAUGCCCUACUCCCAGAGAGCAUAGAUCCAGUGAAACGCUUAUUAAUUUUAAUACCAAAUUGCGUUAUCCUUACGGAUUUAAUUCACGCUUACUCGUAGAUUAUUCUUUUACUUUAAGAAUAAAUCUUUAUAUAAUUCAAUAGAUUUUUUGACUCUACUUCACAAAAUAAAAUAAUAGAUGUAUUAAUGGAAGCGUUAAUUAUUUAUCAGAAUUUAUUCAUACUAUUGAAGGAAGAUUAAUUUGUGAGAGACGUUUUUCGAUGAUACUAACAGAUUAGCCUUCUGGCCAUUGUGUCCAAUUAGUACACUCUCAGUACAUGAGUAUUAAGAGGUUUAGUUAAAAUGGAUGAUUGAUAGAUACAGGGCACAGUGGACACAGAAAAUAUGUCGAAAGCAGCACAAAAUCAGCUGAUGUGCUAUGAUGGUCAUGUCAGACAUAUAAUAUAUUGGGAUUGAUCCUUUUUAUCAGUAUCUCUUUGAGGUAGUUGUAAGGCUUGUGAAUGUAGUUUAAAUAAAAAAAAAAUAUGAAUAAUUCUUGAUUUUCAAGGCUCAUCGAAGGAUUGCACUCAUGAAACU
Cephus cinctus (wheat stem sawfly) is the source of this 1144-nucleotide RNA transcript. RefSeq lists it as uncharacterized. Lineage: Eukaryota; Metazoa; Arthropoda; Insecta; Hymenoptera; Cephidae. The transcript is spliced from 2 exons. The record is from RefSeq and is a predicted model, not a curated record.